GAUGAACGCUGGCGGCGUGCUUAACACAUGCAAGUCGAACGGAAAGGCCCAAGCUUGCUGGGGUACUCGAGUGGCGAACGGGUGAGUAACACGUGGGUGAUCUGCCCUGCACUUUGGGAUAAGCCUGGGAAACUGGGGCUAAUACCGGAUAGGACGAUGGGUUGGAUGCUGUGGGGUAGAGUUUUUUCGGUGUGGGGUGAGCUCGCGGGCUAUCAGCUUGUUUGUGGGGUAGUGGCCUACCCAGGCGUUGACGGGUAGCCGCCCUGUGAGGGUGUAAGGCGACAUUGUGACAGUGAUACAGGCCAGAGUCUUACGCGGGGGAGCAAUGGGGAAUAUUGCACAAUAGGGGCGAGCCUGAUGUAGAGAAGCGGCGUGGGCGAUGACGGCGUCUGGGUUGUAAAAUCCUUUCGCUAGGGACACAGCGCUUUUGUGACGGUACCUGGAGAAGAAGCACCGGCUAACUACGUG
RNAcentral lists this ribosomal RNA (468 nucleotides) under uncultured bacterium. RNAcentral's name for it is "partial 16S ribosomal RNA". It matches the Rfam family "Bacterial small subunit ribosomal RNA", at positions 28 to 507 of the family's 1533-position model. The record is from RNAcentral.